This 253-nucleotide ribosomal RNA is filed under the name uncultured bacterium. RNAcentral's name for it is "partial 16S ribosomal RNA". It matches the Rfam family "Bacterial small subunit ribosomal RNA", at positions 524 to 776 of the family's 1533-position model. The record is from RNAcentral.
UACGGAGGAUGCAAGCGUUAUCCGGAAUGAUUGGGCGUAAAGCGUCCGCAGGUGGCUGUGUAAGUCUGCUGUUAAAGAGUCUAGCUCAACUAGAUACAAGCAGUGGAAACUACAAGGCUAGAGUACGUUCGGGGCAGAGGGAAUUCCUGGUGUAGCGGUGAAAUGCGUAGAGAUCAGGAAGAACACCGGUGGCGAAGGCGCUCUGCUAGGCCGUAACUGACACUGAGGGACGAAAGCUAGGGGAGCGAAUGGG